GUGAAGAAGGUUUUCGGAUCGUAAAACUCUGUUGUUAGAGAAGAACAAGGACGUUAGUAACUGAACGUCCCCUGACGGUAUCUAACCAGAAAGCCACGGCUAACUACGUGCCAGCAGCCGCGGUAAUACGUAGGUGGCAAGCGUUGUCCGGAUUUAUUGGGCGUAAAGCGAGCGCAGGCGGUUUCUUAAGUCUGAUGUGAAAGCCCCCGGCUCAACCGGGGAGGGUCAUUGGAAACUGGGAGACUUGAGUGCAGAAGAGGAGAGUGGAAUUCCAUGUGUAGCGGUGAAAUGCGUAGAUAUAUGGAGGAACACCAGUGGCGAAGGCGGCUCUCUGGUCUGUAACUGACGCUGAGGCUCGAAAGCGUGGGGAGCAAACAGGAUUAGAUACCCUGGUAGUCCACGCCGUAAACGAUGAGUGCUAAGUGUUUGGAGGGUUUCCGCCCUUCAGUGCUGCAGCAAACGCAUUAAGCACUCCGCCUGGGGAGUACGACCGCAAGGUUGAAACUCAAAGGAAUUGACGGGGGC
RNAcentral lists this ribosomal RNA (525 nucleotides) under Enterococcus faecalis. Its description in RNAcentral is "bacterial SSU rRNA". It matches the Rfam family "Bacterial small subunit ribosomal RNA", at positions 405 to 920 of the family's 1533-position model. Lineage: Bacteria; Bacillati; Bacillota; Bacilli; Lactobacillales; Enterococcaceae. The record is from RNAcentral.